GGAGGGGGUAGGGGGUUCGACUUCCUCCAGUGCCUCAAAACCCUAUAAGCGAGGUCCCAGCCAGCUCCCGAAGCGACCCAUUCCUAUUGACCGCCGCCCACUGAUUGCACCCGAGGGGGAUAAGAACUGGAUACUUGUGGAGGAUGGAGGCGAGGCUCGCAAUGUCAAUGGGAUCCUGGGACUUUUGUGCAGGGAACACUUUCCUGGCCUAGUCUACAAGUCAGAGGAGGAUGUGGACGGAGAGAUACCCUCGUUCGACCAGUACGCUCUCUUCCCCGCCAGUGCUCCAUAUAGAAACUUGGCGGAUCAGGUGAUUUCAGAGUUGUGGGACUACUUCAGAUGCCAGCCAGGACAGGAGGAAAGGGCGUAUCAGGUGGCUUACGCUUCCUGUAAAAGGCGUGUCUCGGACUUGUAUUACGAGUCCCGCUUGCAGGCGCACAUUGAUUAUAAUGCCACCUACCGUCAUAGAAGAAUCA
This is a long non-coding RNA of Sorghum bicolor (sorghum), 476 nucleotides long. RefSeq lists it as uncharacterized. NCBI's taxonomy places the organism in Eukaryota, Viridiplantae, Streptophyta, Magnoliopsida, Poales, Poaceae. The record is from RefSeq and is a predicted model, not a curated record. The transcript has 3 exons.